RNAcentral lists this long non-coding RNA (1035 nucleotides) under Numida meleagris (helmeted guineafowl). RNAcentral describes it as "lncRNA (ENSNMEG00000010407.1)". The record is from RNAcentral. Lineage: Eukaryota; Metazoa; Chordata; Aves; Galliformes; Numididae.
AUGUCCCCCCCGGGCCGUGCUUGGAAGUGGCCUGGUGCUGCCCAAAUGCACACCAGGAGCGCUGCAACAGCUCGCUGUCACCGGCGGUUGUGUUCUGUGCUCUCGAGGGAGUCUCCGGACACAGCUCAAUCCUCAAUGCCCAGAGAAGCUGUGGAUGCCCCACCCCUGGAGGCGCUCAAGGCCGGGCUGGAUGGGGCCCUAGGCAGCUCCAAACGGGGAGAACUCCCCCACCUCGCAGCCCGCUUCCCUCAGCGCCGAGCACGGCUCCCUCCCUCCAUCCCUUCCCGAACGGCUCCAGGCCGCGCCGCCCCGCCCAGGAAGCGCCCUUUGCCCGCGGAGCAGGAAGCGGGGCGGCGCCGGGCGGCAGCGGGCGUCCUGCAGGUAGGCGCGGGGCGGCUGGCUCGGGGCGGCAGCGGAGCGCUGGGCCGGGAGAGGGCAGCCCGGGUAGGAAGCUCCGGCAGAGCCUUUGUCUGUCGGCACCGUGGAGGAAGGACCUGCCCGGAGAAGAGACAGAAAGGAGAAGGGGAGGGCCGGCUGUCCUUUUUGUACUCCUCUCUCCGCUUCAGCCGCCGUCCCUGUGUGCUCGCGUGCCUUGCUUGUAACGCGGUUCCCCCGUCCCAUCCCUUUUCACCUGCCUUAGGCAGAAGCAUCUCCUUGCCCAGUUUCCACCCGCCGCUUCCGAUCCCUGUUGCACACAGGCAGCCUCGUACUCUGCUCCCGUUCCCCAAAGCUCCACGGCUCCCUCUUGUCCUGCGCACCCCUGUCUGGGUGCCGUGGCAGUGGCCUGCCCCAUCCUCCUGCCCGUCCCAGCGCAUCAGCCCGCGCUUCACGGACGGCAUCGCUGUACGUCAGGGACAGGGCACAGGCUGCCCAGGGCUGUGGGCACGACCCCACGUACCGGUGUUCAGGGAGUGCUUGGACACCGCUUUCAGACAUAGGGUUUGGAAUUUGGGUGGUCCUGUGUGGAGUCCAGAGUUGGACUCGGUAAUUCUUGUGGGGCCCCUUCCAGCGUGGGGUAUUCACACCUUGUUCUGA